UAAUCUGAGGAAAGAUUAAAAAAAUAAGUCAGCCAGAGUGAUAGUAAUCCAUCUGUGUAGAAGAACUUGGACUAGAGCACCCUCCUCCACCUCAGCCAUUCCAAGAACUCCAAAUGGGAUCAGAAGCCAACUAUGUUGAACACAUAUACACACACACACACACACACACACACACACACUUGUGAAAAAUUAAGUAUUUACAAGCUAAACAGACAAUGUGGGUUAAAACAGAAACCUUGUAAAACUGACUUAUCAAACACCCUAGCCAGCUAAGCUGCAGCUCUUACUGAGCCCAUGUGCUCCCCGGGACUUCCUCUCACUGUAUGAUCCACAGACCCAAACACACUGAACGACUUCAGCCUCUGCAACCUUGGACCUAUUAGCAAACCCGCUGCUCUGCAGUCCUUCCAUCCAGAAAACUCUAUAGGAAUCUUAGCUAAGACUCUCUGCACAAAGCCUAUCCCCAAGGGCUAACUUUUAAGACAGCCUCAUUUCUAACAGAACAAUUUGCCUGAUUAAAAACCUUCCAUCCCUGAAGGACAAAGGGCCUUGAAGCAUUAUUAAAAAAAGGUUGUACAAAUGAGCCCUGGAAAGGGAACAAGAGAGCCUUAGAUCAGCUGCAGAAUGGGACUUGGAGCAGGCUGCUGUUGCCUCAAAUCACUUGCUGUGGAUUAACACCCCAUUUCCAGCAGCACGGUGCUGCUCAAGGGCUCUGCACACACCUCCACAGAGAGUCCUGGUGUAAGGGGUCACCUGGUUUCAUCCAGAAUGGGGCCAAAACUAUUAGAGGCAAAAGUUCAACAACCAGUGAACACCUCUGAACCCACAACUGUCACUGAAUGUGAGCUGAAUAGCGGGAACAUUUGUUUUUUUAGUGAUGACAGCCAAGCAGUGCUUUGGUUUGAACCCUGCAGCUGGCAUGGAAGUACACACAUACAGUGUGUGGCCACACCGUGACAACCCUGUGUCUGUGCCCAGGGGGUCAGGAAGGAGCUGCUUUCUCUCCUGAGCUGCUACUGCCACAUCCCUGAGGGCUCGGGUGGCUCCUGCAGAACUCUGAGGAUCCCCUGGGUGCACCUGCAUGGAUACACACUGAAAGUAAAUCACUGCAAGGGGGACUCCCACAACUGCUACUUGCCAUGGGUCAAGCCCCAGGGCUCCCUCCAUUCCUCCAUCAUGUAACACAAAGGACAAGUGGCUUCCAAAUUCUUAGCAAACACACCAGUGACUUGUCAUUUACAUUUGCAUUUAUUAAUUUCCUUAAAGCUAAUGCAAAGCUUGGGAAGCAAAUUAAUAAUGACACAUCCCCUUACAUCUAAAUGACUGCUAUCAUUAUUUAAAGAGGAAGAAAUGAAUGAGGGCAAACUGGGAAGUGCAGCAUGAUGAGCAGGCACAGAUUUAGGCAAUCUUUCCCUUGCAGUGAUGCUCUCUUUAAAGCACAUCUUGUUCUUUCAAUCCUAGGCUUCUCUUGGGUAUAAAAUGCCAGCUGUGUGUAUCAGUUCUGUGAUAGGUUCAAUAUGACAUUUACCAAGCACAAUGCCAAAAAUAAGAAGAUCAAUAAACAAAGCAAAGUUGGGACUAUGCCUGGCUGAAGAUAGAUCCUUUCCUUGGAAAUAACUGAAGAUUUGUGUUUGGGCUUCCAAGAUUACCCUCAGACAACUCUUAUUGGUCAGGACAUGAAUCACACUGUGAGAAGGAAAUAUGUUUGGAUUUUACCAGGACAGAAAAGAAAAUGGAUCAGCUGUGAGCUCUCUUUACUGUUAACACAGCCAGCAGCUAUUCAUGGAUCAAGCAGAUGCUGCCUGAUUUUAAACCAGUUUAUAUUAAAGCUCAAUGAAUUUACAUGUCACGCAUCAGGGAUGGAAGCAGUGUACAGCUCCAGCUCUCCCACCAGUUCCACUGAGCUUGCAGAAGGUACUGUGAGGUGGUAGCUUUGUUAUUAAUCCAUUUUACAGUUUGUAGAAGCCAAAAUGUCAUCCAAUUCUUUAGGAAAGUCUCUCACUCUUUAUGCCUUUUAACUCUGUAGACUCUUCUCUGACUCUAAAGCUACAUGCCUGAAUACAGAAGCCUGAAUGUGACAGAAAACAGCUAAAACAUUUUAAAAAGUCCUGUUUUAAGGCACUUUUCUGCAAAAUCAUGAGUUAUUUGACCAGUUGGUCCUGAUAAUCAGCUCAGGCUGAGAAGGGUUUACUCCUUGAGAGAUAUCACUGAUUUCAGCCAGCCUGGCUGCAAAGCAAGAAACUAAUUGCAGUAAAGCACUUUCAAAGAAUUCUCUCUGAAGACCCAGGAAUUAUCUAUUCAAUUUGAGUCUUCCAUAGGAAUUUUCUUCCUUUCUCCUCUAGCAAGACUAGCACAUUUUAAAAAGCACAUAUUUAAAUAAAAGGUAUUUAAAUACACCUGUUCUAGAAACAUAUAUUUUGCAAGAAGCUUUCCCUUUUUAUGUAAAAUAUUAAGACCAAAAUAAUUUUUCAUGCAAUAUAUUUUAUGGUGUAUUUUUGCAUGCUUAUUCUCAGUACCUCUUCACCCUGAGCAAUGAAAUUAGAUUGACUGGUAUUAGUCUGGGUUCAUCUCCUGCUUUGCAUGGAUAAGGUUGGCCUGCUGCUAUCUACACUUUCAACAAAGACUAGAAACAGACCCAGAAAAAUUUUCCAGGAGAAAAAAAGUAAAUAGGUAAAAUACUUGUGGUGGUGUGCCAGACACCAACUAAACACUAACAGCUCUGUGGAAGUGCUUAAUGCAAAAGGCAGAGCAGAACAGACAGGAGCCUCCUACCACCAGAAUGUCAUUAAAAGUUAGAAAAUGGGAAUUGGAGCUCUUGAAAGGGGGUUGGUGGAAUUUCAGAAUUACCCUAAAGGUCUGAAGGCAGCAAAUGCAGGAGUUGCUUAGACUCUCCUAGGGAAAAACACAAAAUGUAAUGUUUAGCAAAAGACACACAGAAGGGCUUCAUACAAACUUCUCCAAGUAAUCACGCAGUUUUAAAGAAGCAAGAGAGCUGAUAUAGAGUUACUCAGUGUAAUCAUCUGAAACACCAUGAAAUGCUUUGAAUCAAUGUCUAGUUCAUUUACAAGACCAUCUGUUCUGGCUUUGGAGAUUUUAUUCCCACACUUGCAAAAGAAAGUGACAGAGGCAAAAAAAUGACUAUUAAGAAUUUCAGAGAGUCUUUGAUCACCUUUUAAGGAGCAGCAAUUAAAGAAAAGGGAUAGAAAUAGCUAAAGAAGACCACAACCUGACAGACUGCCCUAAGAGGUACCAAAUUUAGGGGAAGAUUUGGUCAUAUUAUUUUUUGGGGAGAUACUGCAGAAGCAAAAAGGUGGCAAACACCACAAACAAACCAAAAAAAGGACAUCUGUGUUGUCAUCAUUGAACAGCAAACACAAAUGGUAAUAUCCUGUUUAGCCUAUUAAGCAGAAGAAUUAGAGAAUCACAGAAUAUCCUAAACUGGAAGGGACCCCCAAAGAUUAUUGAGUGCAGCUCCUGGCCCUGCACAAAACACCCCAAGAAUCACACCAUGAGAACCAGAGAUUUCUGAUAGCUGGCAGCUCCUUAAAUCUAGCACAAAGAAGUGUGCAUGGCAGGCAAGAACAGGAUCCAAACCCUGCUAAACAGUCAGCGUUCAUUGCCCAGUGAGACUGUGAUGUAUUUUCCAUCCUACCUGACACAACCAAGACAAUCUUUCUAAAAGAUAAACUCCAUCUCAAAUAGAAUUUCUGCACUUGAUCCAGAAAUUAAGAGACAGGAGACUCUUGUCUAUGCUAUGCCAGAAGGUUGGACAAAAU
This is a long non-coding RNA of Passer domesticus (house sparrow), 3776 nucleotides long. RefSeq lists it as uncharacterized. Lineage: Eukaryota; Metazoa; Chordata; Aves; Passeriformes; Passeridae. The transcript has 3 exons. The record is from RefSeq and is a predicted model, not a curated record.